CCUACGGGUGGCAGCAGUGAGGAAUAUUGGGCAAUGGACGAGAGUCUGAACCAGCCAAGUAGCGUGAAGGAUGACUGCCCUAUGGGUGGUAAACUUCUGUUAUAGGGGAAUAAAAUGUACCACGUGUGGGAUUUUGUAUGUACCAUAUGAAUAAGGAUCGGCUAACUCCGUGCCAGCAGCCGCGGUAAUACGGAGGAUCCGAGCGUUAUCCGGCUUUAUUGGGGUGAAAGGGAGCGUAGGGGGAUUGUUAAGUCAGUUGUGACAGUUUGCGGCUCAACCGUUAAAUUGCAGUUGAAACUGGCAGUCUUGAGUACCGUAGUGGUGGGCGGACUUCGUGGUGUAGCGG
Molecule: ribosomal RNA, 346 nt
Filed under: uncultured bacterium
Lineage: Bacteria
Description: partial 16S ribosomal RNA
Rfam family: Bacterial small subunit ribosomal RNA
Source: RNAcentral